This 1056-nucleotide long non-coding RNA is filed under the name Zonotrichia albicollis (white-throated sparrow). RNAcentral's name for it is "lncRNA (ENSZALG00000000288.1)". The record is from RNAcentral. Lineage: Eukaryota; Metazoa; Chordata; Aves; Passeriformes; Passerellidae.
GUUUGCAGCUGUGCCCAGCUGUGCCCGGUUGGAUUUCAGGGUUAUUCACGGCUGUGCCGAGGUUUCCGUGGGCAGACAGGGCUGUGCUGAGCUCUGCACGGGGAUUUCAUGGCUGUUCAUGGUUUUACAUGGCUGUUCAUGGUUUUACAUGGCUGUUCAUGGCUGUUCAUGGCUGUUCAUGGCUGUUCAUGGUUUUACAUGGCUGUUCAUGGCUGUUCAUGGCUGUUCAUGGCUGUUCAUGAUUGUGCACGGCUGUACAUGGCUGUACAUGCCUGUACAUGGUUGUUCAUGGCUAUACACAGUUGUUCAUGGCUGUUCAUGGUUGUUCACAGCUGCUCAUGGUAACACACUGUUGUUCAUGCCUGUUCAUGCCUGUUCAUGCCUGUUCAUGGCUGUUCACAGUUGUUCAUGGUCGUUCCUGGUUGUUCAUGCCUGUACAUGGCUGUUCAUGGUUGUUCAUGCCUGUACAUGGCUGCUCAUGGCUGCUCAUGGUUGUUCAUGGUUGUUCACAGUUGUUCAUGGUUGUUCAUGCCUGUACAUGCUUUUUCACGGCUGUUCACGGUUGUUCAUGCCUGUACAUGGCUGUUCAUGGCUGCUCACGGUUGUUCAUGGCUGUUCACAGUUGUUCAUGGUUGUUCAUGCCUGUACAUGGUUUUUCAUGGUUGCUCAUGCUUGUACAUGGCUGUUCAUGGCUGCUCAUGGCUGCUCAAGCUUUUUCAUACCUGUACACAGUUGUUCAUGGUAGCACAUGGCUGUUCACGCCUGUACAUGGCUGUCCACAGUUGUUCAUGGGGGUUUUUUAUGGUUGUUCAUGCUUGUUCACGGCUGUUCAUGGUUGUACGUGGUUGUUCAUGGUAGCACACGGUUGUUCAUGGCUGUACAGGGCUGUUCAUGGUUGUUCAUGGCUGUUCAUGGCUGUACACAGUUGCUCACAGUUGUUCAUGGCAGCACACGGUUGUUCAUGGCUGUUCAUGCCUGUACAUGUUUGUUCAGAGUUCUUCAUGGCUGUUCAUGGCUGUUGAUGCCUGUACAUGGUUUUCCAUGGCUGUCCAUGCC